GUUAUAAACAGAGCCACGCAGCAUUUCAUCAGCGUGAAGUGUGUCAUCGAAAUCGAAACUACAUUUACAGUUUGCUUCUUUCAGUUUCAUCCAUGUUCCAAGUAUUAAGUCGUGUGGAAUACCUUUCAUAUACAGAAGCUCUGUGCAGCACGAGUAUAACCUCGAGCAGGUGAGGCAAGCAGCAGCUCUAAACCUUUGUCUUCCAGGUCCUGCCGGGUGGGCUGUAUACUCCGACAUACAAAGUCAGGAGACAGUCUGAUGUACCACAAUGGGCAGGAGUUCGCCACAAAGGAUCACGGGAAGCUACAGGCUUUGACAUGUGCUCUGAAGUUACAACUCCAACCUCAACGGCGUCUACAUCACCAACGCGCCGCUGCCCCACUUGAAUGGGGUCACGUGGUUUACUUUCGGUCAAAGUUACAAAUCGUUGAAACGAGCGGAAAUGAAAAUACGACCUGUGUAACGGCAGAAGUUCGGAAAUUAAAAUGUUGUUUCUUGUGCAUUUUAG
Molecule: long non-coding RNA, 508 nt
Organism: Pomacea canaliculata
Lineage: Eukaryota; Metazoa; Mollusca; Gastropoda; Architaenioglossa; Ampullariidae
Exons: 2
Source: RefSeq, a predicted model, not a curated record